This 215-nucleotide long non-coding RNA is filed under the name Mytilus galloprovincialis (Mediterranean mussel). Lineage: Eukaryota; Metazoa; Mollusca; Bivalvia; Mytilida; Mytilidae. The record is from RNAcentral.
CGAAAGAUACCAGAGGGGAAGUCAAACUCGCAGAUGGAGCUAGUGUGUUCAGCAGAACCAUAUAAAUAAAGGUAACAGUAGUAUACCGCUGUUCAAAAUUCAUAAAUCGAUAGAGAAAAAGCAAAUCCGGGUCACAAACUAAAACUGAGGGAAACGUAUCAAACAUAAGAGAACUACGACACAACAGAGACACAACACCGAAAUGUAAACAGAAA